CACAACAUCUUUGUUUAUAUGUGGUGCUGGGGAUUGAACCUGGGCCGCACGCAUGCCAGGCGAGCGAGCUACUGCUUGAGCCACAUCCCCAGCCCCUACCAAGAGUUUUAAAUGAGAAGAAAUAUUAGAACUCCCUCCCAGAGCUGCCAGGGAUUAAUUAAGAAAGCAUGGAAGGACUCAGUAACAGCACAGCAAUCAUGGCCUCCUCAGAAAAUGAAGGACAUAUCCUGAGUCAACCUGUGGAAUUUCAAAGGACCAGGACCUUCCCAUGCUGCCCCUUGGAACUGAUGAGAAAACAAAACACAACAUUGGCUGUUUAAAGAGUCUGUAAAGAUGCUGUGAAAUCAAUGUUUAUAGCAGCACAAUUCACAGUAGCUAAACUGUGGAACCAACCUAGAUGCCCUUCAAUAGAUGAAUGGAUAAAAAAUGUGGCAUAUAUACACAAUGGAAUAUUAC
Molecule: long non-coding RNA, 456 nt
Organism: Ictidomys tridecemlineatus (thirteen-lined ground squirrel)
Lineage: Eukaryota; Metazoa; Chordata; Mammalia; Rodentia; Sciuridae
Source: RefSeq, a predicted model, not a curated record